RNAcentral lists this ribosomal RNA (253 nucleotides) under uncultured bacterium. RNAcentral's name for it is "partial 16S ribosomal RNA". It matches the Rfam family "Bacterial small subunit ribosomal RNA", at positions 524 to 776 of the family's 1533-position model. The record is from RNAcentral.
UACGGGGGGGGCAAGCGUUGUUCGGAUUUACUGGGCGUAAAGCGCACGUAGGCGGAUUGUUAAGUGAGGGGUGAAAUCCCAGGGCUCAACCCUGGAACUGCCUUUCAUACUGGCAAUCUCGAGUCCGGAAGAGGUGAGUGGAACUCCUAGUGUAGAGGUGGAAUUCGUAGAUAUUAGGAAGAACACCAGUGGCGAAGGCGGCUCACUGGUCCGGUACUGACGCUGAGGUGCGAAAGCGUGGGGAGCAAACAGG